RNAcentral lists this non-coding RNA (103 nucleotides) under Paramoeba aestuarina. The record is from RNAcentral. Lineage: Eukaryota; Discosea; Flabellinia; Dactylopodida; Paramoebidae.
AGAAAGAAGGAGAGAAAGAAAAACAAAACAAAGAAAAGGGGAAGGGAGUUCCUUCCUCCUCUUCCUCUUCCUCCUUUCUUUCUUCUCUCUCCUCGUUCCUUUC